This 253-nucleotide ribosomal RNA is filed under the name uncultured bacterium. RNAcentral describes it as "partial 16S ribosomal RNA". It matches the Rfam family "Bacterial small subunit ribosomal RNA", at positions 524 to 776 of the family's 1533-position model. The record is from RNAcentral.
UACGUAGGUGGCAAGCGUUGUCCGGAUUUACUGGGCGUAAAGAGCGCGCAGGCGGUCGUUCAAGUCGAGUGUGAAAGCCCCCGGCUCAACUGGGGAGGGUCACUCGAUACUGAUCGACUUGAAGGCAGGAGAGGGAAGCGGAAUUCCCGGUGUAGUGGUGAAAUGCGUAGAUAUCGGGAGGAACACCAGUGGCGAAGGCGGCUUCCUGGCCUGUUCUUGACGCUGAGACGCGAAAGCGUGGGGAGCAAACAGG